CAGUCGCCGCGGUAAAACGGAGGGUGCAAGCGUUAAUCGGAAUUACUGGGCGUAAAGCGCACGCAGGCGGUCUGACAAGUCAGAUGUGAAAUCCCCGGGCUUAACCUGGGAACUGCAUUUGAAACUGUCAGGCUGGAGUCUUGUAGAGGGGGGUAGAAUUCCAGGUGUAGCGGUAAAAUGCGUAGAGAUCUGGAGGAAUACCGGUGGCGAAGGCGGCCCCCUGGACAAAGACUGACGCUCAGGUGCGAAAGCGUGGGGAGCAAACAGGAUUAGAUACCCGUGUAGUCCCUGUCUCUUAUAC
RNAcentral lists this ribosomal RNA (301 nucleotides) under uncultured bacterium. RNAcentral's name for it is "partial 16S ribosomal RNA". It matches the Rfam family "Bacterial small subunit ribosomal RNA", at positions 509 to 807 of the family's 1533-position model. The record is from RNAcentral.